AAGACGAACGGAUGCGAAAGCGUUUGCCAAGAANGUUUUCGCUAAUCAAGAACGAAAGUUAGAGGUUCGAAGGCGAUCAGAUACCGCCCUAGUUCUAACCAUAAACGAUGCCAGCCAGCGAUGCGCCGAAGUUCCUCCGAUGACUCGGCGCGCAGCUUCCGGGAAACCAAAGCUUUUGGGUUCCGGGGGAAGUAUGGUUGCAAAGCUGAAACUUAAAGGAAUUGACGGAAGGGCACCACCAGGAGUGGAGCCUGCGGCUUAAUUUGACUCAACACGGGAAACCUCACCAGGCCCGGACAUCGGCAGGAUUGACAGAUUGAGAGCUCUUUCUUGAUUCGAUGGUUGGUGGUGCAUGGCCGUUCUUAGUUGGUGGAGCGAUUUGUCUGGUUAAUUCCGAUAACGAACGAGACUC
RNAcentral lists this ribosomal RNA (412 nucleotides) under Labiobaetis vitilis. RNAcentral's name for it is "SSU rRNA". It matches the Rfam family "Eukaryotic small subunit ribosomal RNA", at positions 932 to 1343 of the family's 1831-position model. Lineage: Eukaryota; Metazoa; Arthropoda; Insecta; Ephemeroptera; Baetidae. The record is from RNAcentral.